UUGGAGGGCAAGUCUGGUGCCAGCAGCCGCGGUAAUUCCAGCUCCAAUAGCGUAUAUUAAAGUUGUUGCAGUUAAAAAGCUCGUAGUUGAACCUUGGGCCUGGCUGGCCGGUCCGCCUCACCGCGUGCACUGGUUCGGCCGGGCCUUUCCCUCUGGGGAGCCGCAUGCUCUUCACUGAGUGUGUCGGGGAACCAGGACUUUUACUGUGAAAAAAUUAGAGUGUUCAAAGCAGGCCUAUGCUCGAAUACAUUAGCAUGGAAUAAUAGAAUAGGACAUCGGUUCUAUUUUGUUGGUUUCUAGGACCGCUGUAAUGAUUAAUAGGGAUAGUCGGGGGCGUCAGUAUUCAAUUGUCAGAGGUGAAAUUCUUGGAUUUAUUGAAGACUAACUACUGCGAAAGCAUUCGCCAAGGAUGUUUUCAUUAAUCAGUGAACGAAAGUUAGGGGAUCGAAGACGAUCAGAUACCGUCGUAGUCUUAACCAUAAACUAUGCCGACUAGGGAUCGGACGGUGGUUUUUUUAUGCCCCGUUCGGCACCUUACGGGAAAC
This 545-nucleotide ribosomal RNA is filed under the name uncultured Ascomycota. Its description in RNAcentral is "SSU rRNA". It matches the Rfam family "Eukaryotic small subunit ribosomal RNA", at positions 548 to 1098 of the family's 1831-position model. The record is from RNAcentral. Lineage: Eukaryota; Fungi; Ascomycota.